This 182-nucleotide ribosomal RNA is filed under the name uncultured bacterium. RNAcentral's name for it is "partial 16S ribosomal RNA". It matches the Rfam family "Bacterial small subunit ribosomal RNA", at positions 1318 to 1500 of the family's 1533-position model. The record is from RNAcentral.
ACACGAAGCUGGAAUCGCUAGUAAUCGCGAAUCAGAAUGUCGCGGUGAAUACGUUCCCGGGUCUGUACACACCGCCCGUCACACCAUGGGAGUCGGGAAUGCCCGAAGUCAGUGACCCAACCUAUUGGAGGGAGCUGCCGAAGGCAGGUCUGAUAACUGGGGUGAAGUCGUAACAAGGUAUC